AUUGAACGCUGGCGGCAGGCCUAACACAUGCAAGUCGAGCGGAUGAAGGGAGCUUGCUCCUGGAUUCAGCGGCGGACGGGUGAGUAAUGCCUAGGAAUCUGCCUGGUAGUGGGGGAUAACGUCCGGAAACGGGCGCUAAUACCACAUACGUCCUGAGGGAGAAAGUGGGGGAUCUUCGGACCUCACGCUAUCAGAUGAGCCUAGGUCGGAUUAGCUAGUUGGUGGGGUAAAGGCCUACCAAGGCGACGAUCCGUAACUGGUCUGAGAGGAUGAUCAGUCACACUGGAACUGAGACACGGUCCAGACUCCUACGGGAGGCAGCAGUGGGGAAUAUUGGACAAUGGGCGAAAGCCUGAUCCAGCCAUGCCGCGUGUGAAGAAGGUCUUCGGAUUGUAAAGCACUUUAAGUUGGGAGGAAGGGCAGUAAGUUAAUACCUUGCUGUUUUGACGUUACCAACAGAAUAAGCACCGGCUAACUUCGUG
Molecule: ribosomal RNA, 482 nt
Filed under: uncultured bacterium
Lineage: Bacteria
Description: partial 16S ribosomal RNA
Rfam family: Bacterial small subunit ribosomal RNA
Source: RNAcentral